UAUUCUGAAUUGCCAUUAUUAACUAAUUUCUAAUAUGGCAGAUUAGUGCAAUGGAUUUAAGCUCCAUAUAUAAAGUAUUUUACUUUUAUUAGA
This 93-nucleotide transfer RNA is filed under the name Sarcophaga argyrostoma. Its description in RNAcentral is "tRNA-Leu". Lineage: Eukaryota; Metazoa; Arthropoda; Insecta; Diptera; Sarcophagidae. RNAcentral also lists the same sequence under 3 other names. The record is from RNAcentral.